CCAUUAAUUCCGCCAAUAUUGUCAUAAAAUAGCGGAAGCCUUAACUUGUCAGUACCGGUACGGUAAUAAAGCAAGAAAUUCCAGUUAGAACAUUCGGCUAUAAUAAAAUAGCAUUAAUAUCGAUUUUCCGGAAGUUGUGGAUUUUCAAACAAGGUGGUCAUCAUUGCAUUUUCUCACACAAAAUUUCAUGAAAUUAAUGAAAAAAACCCGACAAUUAUUACCAAGGACUGCAACAGAGAUUUGACAAGUCAAGUCUACAGGGAAAAAUAGAUUCAAUUAUAAAGGAAACUUAAACUUUCAAAAAUAUUCAUUAUCCUCUGUUCCCUUAACGCCUGUUGGACUCAAUUUACUCUUCCAGGGCUGGAAUGCUGAAUUUUUCACCCUAUAGAUUGGCCCAGUUAAUACCGGCGAAAAAGUCGACACAUUAUCAAUAUUAAUUUGCUAAAAACUAUUUGAAUAAGGCUAAUGCGGAUAUAACAUUGAAUACCCACGCCCGGAGCGACUUCCUAUAUAUUCCUAGAAUGCUUCUAGGUGCAUUCUAGUGUACCGCGGCUUCUGAAAGCUUUAUAUAAAUUUUCGAUUCUUCCAGCUAAAUCCAAAUCGAAACGAUGUUGCUGAGGCUUUUGGCAAUUUGCAUGCUUCUUUUCGUGUCAAGCGUACGCGCCAAUGUGAUCCGAUGUGACCUGAUAGAGCCGCAUAGUAGAGAAAGCGAGCUGUGCUGGAAACAGCUCCUCUACAAAAACUACCCCAUGGUGCCGCAAAUGGACGAAGACCAGAGCGAUCCAGAGCUGCAUGGGUUGCAGGCCAGAAACUCUGAGCUGAGCAGCGCUCUGAUGCAACUCUACGGAUUCAAUCGACUGAACGGAAAACGAAAUCCUGAAUUUUCCAGGGAUGUUGUGCGGCUCAUUUCCGACAUCAACCCCUAUAAGGAAAAUUAGAGCUUAGAGAGAGUUUGAAAUGCAGUGGCAAAUAAAGUAGUGUAGAACAAGCGAACAUUAAA
Molecule: long non-coding RNA, 1000 nt
Organism: Dendroctonus ponderosae (mountain pine beetle)
Lineage: Eukaryota; Metazoa; Arthropoda; Insecta; Coleoptera; Curculionidae
Exons: 3
Source: RefSeq, a predicted model, not a curated record